RNAcentral lists this long non-coding RNA (322 nucleotides) under Columba livia (rock pigeon). RNAcentral's name for it is "partial uncharacterized LOC106145824". The record is from RNAcentral. Lineage: Eukaryota; Metazoa; Chordata; Aves; Columbiformes; Columbidae.
CAGGAGGGUGGUGACGCUGGAGAAGAAGGCGGAGGAGACCUUCGGCUUCGAGAUCCAGACCUACGGGCUGCACCACCAGGACAGGAACAGCGUGGAGAUGUUCACCUUCGUGUGCCGGGUGCACGGUGGGAGCCCGGCUGAGGCCGCGGGGCUCCAGACCGGGGACACCAUCACGGGGGUCAACGGGCUGAAUGUGGAGGGCGUCCGGCACCGGGAGAUCGUGGAGAUCAUUAAGAACUCGGGCAACACGCUCCGGCUGGACACGCUCUACGGGACAUCCAUCCGGAGGGCCGAGCUGGAGGCCCGGCUGCAGUACCUGAAG